This 232-nucleotide ribosomal RNA is filed under the name uncultured bacterium. RNAcentral's name for it is "partial 16S ribosomal RNA". It matches the Rfam family "Bacterial small subunit ribosomal RNA", at positions 99 to 334 of the family's 1533-position model. The record is from RNAcentral.
CGGACGGGUGAGUAAUGUCUGGGAAACUGCCCGAUGGAGGGGGAUAACUACUGGAAACGGUAGCUAAUACCGCAUAACGUCGCAAGACCAAAGAGGGGGACCUUCGGGCCUCUUGCCAUCGGAUGUGCCCAGAUGGGAUUAGCUAGUAGGUGGGGUAAAGGCUCACCUAGGCGACGAUCCCUAGCUGGUCUGAGAGGAUGACCAGCCACACUGGAGCUGAGACACGGUCCAG